RNAcentral lists this ribosomal RNA (494 nucleotides) under uncultured bacterium. RNAcentral's name for it is "bacterial SSU rRNA". It matches the Rfam family "Bacterial small subunit ribosomal RNA", at positions 29 to 518 of the family's 1533-position model. The record is from RNAcentral.
AUGAACGCUGGCGGCGUGCUUAAUACAUGCAAGUCGAACGAAGCGCUUACAGCCGAUCCCUUCGGGGUGAAGCAGUUUGUGACUUAGUGGCAGACGGGUGAGUAACGCGUGGGUAACCUGCCUUAUGCAGGGGGAUAACAGUUAGAAAUGACUGCUAAUACCGCAUAAGCGCACAGCACCGCAUGAUGCAGUGUGAAAAGAUUUAUCGGCAUAAGAUGGACCCGCGUCUGAUUAGGUAGUUGGUGAGGUAACGGCCCACCAAGCCUGCGAUCAGUAGCCGACUUGAGAGAGUGAUCGGCCACAUUGGGACUGAGACACGGCCCAGACUCCUACGGGAGGCAGCAGUAGGGAAUAUUGCACAAUGGGGGAAACCCUGAUGCAGCGAACCGCCGCGUGAGUGAUUGAAGCAUUUCGGUGCGUAAAGCUCUAUCAGCAGGGAAGAUAAUGACGGUACCUGACUAAGAAGCCCCGGCUAACUACGUGCCAGCCGCGGC